CAAAUUUAAAAUCUACCUGGUUUCCAGGUCGAGUUGUAAUUUGAAGAUACGUUUUUGACGUUCCGGGUUGAACUAAAUCCUUUGGGAUAAGGUAUCAUGGAGGGUGAGAAUCCCGUAUAUACCAACCGYAGGGAUGUUAUUUAAUACGUUUCUAARARUCSAGUUGUUUGGGAAUGCAGCUCUAAAUGGGUGGUAAAUUUCACCUAAUGCUAAAUAUAAGCGAGAGACCGAUAGCGAACAAGUACAGUGAUGGAAAGAUGAAAAGAACUUUGAAAAGAGAGUUAAAUAGUACGUGAAAUUGUUGAAAGGGAAACGAUUGAAGUCAGUCAUGCCAGUGGGAAUCAACUUAGAGGAAACUCUGAGUGCACUUCUUCGCUUGGCAGGUCAACGUCGAUUUUGGAUGUCAUAAAAUGAUUGGGGGAAGGUAGCUCCUUCGGGAGUGUUAUAGCCCUUGGUAGAUGUGAUGUCUGGGAUCGAGGAUUGCAAUGGAUACCCUUUGGGGCUAGCCGCCUGAUCUCUAAUCRGUAUUGGGUUACGGA
Molecule: ribosomal RNA, 539 nt
Filed under: Glomeromycotina sp.
Lineage: Eukaryota; Fungi; Glomeromycota
Description: eukaryotic LSU rRNA
Rfam family: Eukaryotic large subunit ribosomal RNA
Source: RNAcentral